UACGUAGGGUGCAAGCGUUAAUCGGAAUUACUGGGCGUAAAGGGCGCGCAGGCGGCUAUCCAAGUCAGGCGUGAAAGCCCCGGGCUUAACCUGGGAGGUGCGUCUGGGACUGGGUGGCUAGAGUUCGGGAGAGGAGAGUGGAAUUCCCGAGUGUAGAGGUGAAAUUCGUAGAUAUUGGGAAGAACACCGGUGGCGAAGGCGGCUCUCUGGACCGAGACUGACGCUGAGGCGCGAAAGCGUGGGGAGCAAACAGGG
This 255-nucleotide ribosomal RNA is filed under the name uncultured bacterium. RNAcentral's name for it is "partial 16S ribosomal RNA". It matches the Rfam family "Bacterial small subunit ribosomal RNA", at positions 524 to 777 of the family's 1533-position model. The record is from RNAcentral.